UAGACACUUUUCUUCUUUCUU
Molecule: non-coding RNA, 21 nt
Filed under: Caenorhabditis elegans
Lineage: Eukaryota; Metazoa; Nematoda; Chromadorea; Rhabditida; Rhabditidae
Source: RNAcentral